RNAcentral lists this ribosomal RNA (347 nucleotides) under uncultured bacterium. Its description in RNAcentral is "partial 16S ribosomal RNA". It matches the Rfam family "Bacterial small subunit ribosomal RNA", at positions 338 to 682 of the family's 1533-position model. The record is from RNAcentral.
CCUACGGGAGGCAGCAGUGAGGAAUAUUGGUCAAUGGACGAGAGUCUGAACCAGCCAAGUAGCGUGAAGGAUGACGGCCCUAUGGGUUGUAAACUUCUUUUAUAGGGGAAUAAAAUGUGCCACGUGUGGGAUGUUGUAUGUACCAUAUGAAUAAGGAGCGGCUAACUCCGUGCCAGCAGCCGCGGUAAUACGGAGGAUCCGAGCGUUAUCCGGAGUUAUUGGGUUUAAAGGGAGCGUAGGUGGAUUGUUAAGUCAGUUGUGAUAGUUUGCGGCUCAACCGUAAAAUUGCAGUUGAAACUGGCAGUCUUUAUUACAGUCGAGGUGGGCGGCAUUCGUGGUGUAGCGGU